UACGAAGGGGGCUAGCGUUGCUCGGAAUCACUGGGCGUAAAGCGCACGUAGGCGGAUUGUUAAGUCAGGGGUGAAAUCCUGGAGCUCAACUCCAGAACUGCCUUUGAUACUGGCGAUCUCGAGUCCGGGAGAGGUGAGUGGAACUGCGAGUGUAGAGGUGAAAUUCGUAGAUAUUCGCAAGAACACCAGUGGCGAAGGCGGCUCACUGGCCCGGUACUGACGCUGAGGUGCGAAAGCGUGGGGAGCAACAGG
This 252-nucleotide ribosomal RNA is filed under the name uncultured bacterium. RNAcentral's name for it is "partial 16S ribosomal RNA". It matches the Rfam family "Bacterial small subunit ribosomal RNA", at positions 524 to 775 of the family's 1533-position model. The record is from RNAcentral.